RNAcentral lists this ribosomal RNA (486 nucleotides) under uncultured bacterium. RNAcentral's name for it is "partial 16S ribosomal RNA". It matches the Rfam family "Bacterial small subunit ribosomal RNA", at positions 30 to 507 of the family's 1533-position model. The record is from RNAcentral.
AUUGAACGCUGGCGGCAUGCCUUACACAUGCAAGUCGAACGGCAGCACGGGUGCUUGCACCUGGUGGCGAGUGGCGAACGGGUGAGUAAUACAUCGGAACAUGUCCUGUAGUGGGGGAUAGCCCGGCGAAAGCCGGAUUAAUACCGCAUACGAUCUACGGAUGAAAGCGGGGGACCUUCGGGCCUCGCGCUAUAGGGUUGGCCGAUGGCUGAUUAGCUAGUUGGUGGGGUAAAGGCCUACCAAGGCGACGAUCAGUAGCUGGUCUGAGAGGACGACCAGCCACACUGGGACUGAGACACGGCCCAGACUCCUACGGGAGGCAGCAGUGGGGAAUUUUGGACAAAGGGCGAAAGCCUGAUCCAGCAAUGCCGCGUGUGUGAAGAAGGCCUUCGGGUUGUAAAGCACUUUUGUCCGGAAAGAAAUCCUUGGCCCUAAUACGGUCGGGGGAUGACGGUACCAGAAGAAUAAGCACCGGCUAACUACGUG